Molecule: microRNA precursor, 82 nt
Filed under: Trichobilharzia regenti
Lineage: Eukaryota; Metazoa; Platyhelminthes; Trematoda; Strigeidida; Schistosomatidae
Description: mir-3492 microRNA precursor family
Rfam family: mir-3492 microRNA precursor family
Source: Rfam by way of RNAcentral
AGCUUUCUGUAUUCGUGUUAAGAUUUCGUCGGCAAUCAACCUGUGGGCAUUGGCUGAUGAAACUCCCCAAAUAAGUGAAGUG